RNAcentral lists this ribosomal RNA (492 nucleotides) under uncultured bacterium. Its description in RNAcentral is "partial 16S ribosomal RNA". It matches the Rfam family "Bacterial small subunit ribosomal RNA", at positions 29 to 507 of the family's 1533-position model. The record is from RNAcentral.
AGUGAACGCUGGCGGUAGGCCUAACACAUGCAAGUCGAACGGCAGCACAGUAAGAGCUUGCUCUUACGGGUGGCGAGUGGCGGACGGGUGAGGAAUACAUCGGAAUCUACUUUUUCGUGGGGGAUAACGUAGGGAAACUUACGCUAAUACCGCAUACGACCUACGGGUGAAAGCAGGGGAUCUUCGGACCUUGCGCGAUUGAAUGAGCCGAUGUCGGAUUAGCUAGUUGGCGGGGUAAAGGCCCACCAAGGCGACGAUCCGUAGCUGGUCUGAGAGGAUGAUCGGCCAAACUGGAACUGAGACACGGUCCAGACUCCUACGGGAGGCAGCAGUGGGGAAUAUUGGACAAUGGGCGCAAGCCUGAUCCAGCCAUACCGCGUGGGUGAAGAAGGCCUUCGGGUUGUAAAGCCCUUUUGUUGGGAAAGAAAAGCAGCAGGUUAAUACCCCGCUGUUCUGACGGUACCCAAAGAAUAAGCACCGGCUAACUUCGUG